RNAcentral lists this ribosomal RNA (377 nucleotides) under uncultured Phycisphaerae bacterium. RNAcentral's name for it is "bacterial SSU rRNA". It matches the Rfam family "Bacterial small subunit ribosomal RNA", at positions 521 to 896 of the family's 1533-position model. Lineage: Bacteria; Pseudomonadati; Planctomycetota; Phycisphaerae. The record is from RNAcentral.
UAAGACGAAGGUGGCGAGCGUUGUUCGGUGUUACUGGGCUUAAAGCGUGUGUAGGCGGGUUGGUUAGCGUCUUGUGAAAUCCCUCGGCUUAACCGAGGAAUGGCUGGGCGAACCGCCAACCUUGAGGCAGGCAGGGGCGCAUGGAACUCUUGGUGGAGCGGUGGAAUGCGUAGAUAUCAAGAGGAACGCCGAUGGAGAAAUCAGUGCGCUGGGCCUGUCCUGACGCUGAUACACGAAAGCGUGGGGAGCGAACGGGAUUAGAUACCCCGGUAGUCCACGCUGUAAACGAUGUCUACUAGGUCGUGGAGGUUCUGACACCUGCACGGCCGAAGCAAAAGUGUUAAGUAGACCGCCUGGGGAGUACGGUCGCAAGGCUA